GCAUCUGAAUAGAGAGUAAAAUGUUUAUAUAAUAAUGUGAAUUUAGGGGCAUAAAGGAUGAGCAAGAGCACUGAAAUUGAUAGGGUCUCGACAAAGGACUAACGGAGAGGGCCUAUUCCCUGAGACUUCGAGUUUACCAUUAUAAAGGAAUGCACCUUUUCACGAUCAUAUUUGACGUGAAACACUGAGUUUUAACUUAAAGCCAAACAAAGCGGUACAAUGCAGCUCUGUCUUUGCGGCAUCGAGCACCAUAUGACAGACAGUACCACAGGGAGGAGAGAACUAUUGGAAAAAUAUAACAAUUUAACAGAAAUCAGAACAAAAGGAAUUGUCAGCCCAUUAAAUUUGUGACUGAGGGAUUGAAAAGUCAAGCUUUUAUUAUACAUUUAUCAGGAAGAAACCUUUUGUUAAAAGCAAUAGAAUAACAUUCUAAUUACCUGAAACCAAAAUGAUUGCAGCAACAGUUAUGCCAGCUGCCAAGAUGACAUAUCCUUUGAAGAAGCCAUAUUGUGUUUGAAUAUAGACUAUAGCUGUAUAGGCAAUAAAUGAUCCCACAUUUAUGAACCAGUAGAACCAAUUGAAAAAUGUAGUGAUGGCACCUGGGCCUAAGCUCUGCACUUGCUCUGCACCAAAGGGAGAGACAUUUGCUUUAAUACCACCAGUUCCAAUUGAAAUGAACAGCAGAGAUAUAGCAAAAAAGACCCACUUUGCUGUUUGAUUAAAUGCAUACUUUCCACCAGAUGAUCCUUCAUAAU
Molecule: non-coding RNA, 755 nt
Organism: Rhopilema esculentum
Lineage: Eukaryota; Metazoa; Cnidaria; Scyphozoa; Rhizostomeae; Rhizostomatidae
Source: RefSeq, a predicted model, not a curated record